This 29-nucleotide non-coding RNA is filed under the name Bos taurus (domestic cattle). RNAcentral also lists the same sequence under 2 other names. Lineage: Eukaryota; Metazoa; Chordata; Mammalia; Artiodactyla; Bovidae. The record is from RNAcentral.
CGAUAGCUCAGUUGGUAGAGCGGAGGACU